This 234-nucleotide ribosomal RNA is filed under the name uncultured bacterium. RNAcentral's name for it is "partial 16S ribosomal RNA". It matches the Rfam family "Bacterial small subunit ribosomal RNA", at positions 99 to 334 of the family's 1533-position model. The record is from RNAcentral.
CGAACGGGUGAGUAACACGUGAGGUAACCUGCCCUUGACUUUGGGAUAACUUCAGGAAACUGGGGCUAAUACCGGAUAGGAGCUCCGUGCUGCAUGGUGGGGGUUGGAAAGUUUCGGCGGUUGGGGAUGGACUCGCGGCUUAUCAGCUUGUUGGUGGUAGUGGCUUACCAAGGCUUUGACGGGUAGCCGGCCUGAGAGGGUGACCGGCCACAUUGGGACUGAGAUACGGCCCAG